ACAACGGAUCUCUUGGCUCUCGCAUCGAUGAAGAACGCAGCGAAAUGCGAUAAGUAAUGUGAAUUGCAGAAUUCAGUGAAUCAUCGAAUCUUUGAACGCACCUUGCGCUCCUUGGUAUUCCGAGGAGCAUGCCUGUUUGAGUGUCAUUGAAUCAUCAACCCCCCCACUUCU
This 171-nucleotide ribosomal RNA is filed under the name Pluteus variabilicolor. RNAcentral's name for it is "5.8S ribosomal RNA". The stretch from base 1 to 146 matches the Rfam family "5.8S ribosomal RNA". Rfam says of the family: 5.8S ribosomal RNA (5.8S rRNA) is a component of the large subunit of the eukaryotic ribosome. The record is from RNAcentral. Lineage: Eukaryota; Fungi; Basidiomycota; Agaricomycetes; Agaricales; Pluteaceae.